AUACGUAGGGGGCCAGCGUUGUCCGGAAUUACUGGGCGUAAAGGGUGCGCAGGCGGCUUGGUUAGUCAGUGGUGAAAGUUUGCAGCUUAACUGUAAAAUUGCCGUUGAAACUGUUGGUCUUGAGUGCAAAUGAGGUAGGCGGAAUGUGUUGUGUAGCGGUGAAAUGCUUAGAUAUGACACAGAACACCGAUUGCGAAGGCAGCUUACUGGGAUGCAACUGACACUGAUGCACGAAAGCGUGGGUAUCAAACAGGAUUAGAUACCCUGGUAGUCCACGCCGUAAACGAUGGGCGCUCGUCGUCGGCGGCAGACAGUCGGCGGCCAAGCGAAAGCGAUAAGCGCCCCACCUGGGGAGUACGGUCGCAAGGCUGAAACUCAAAUGAAUUGGCGGGG
This 393-nucleotide ribosomal RNA is filed under the name uncultured bacterium. RNAcentral's name for it is "partial 16S ribosomal RNA". It matches the Rfam family "Bacterial small subunit ribosomal RNA", at positions 523 to 918 of the family's 1533-position model. The record is from RNAcentral.